Molecule: ribosomal RNA, 502 nt
Filed under: uncultured bacterium
Lineage: Bacteria
Description: partial 16S ribosomal RNA
Rfam family: Bacterial small subunit ribosomal RNA
Source: RNAcentral
AGUGAACGCUGGCGGCAUGCCUUACACAUGCAAGUCGAACGGCAGCAUAGGAGCUUGCUCCUGAUGGCGAGUGGCGAACGGGUGAGUAAUAUAUCGGAACGUGCCCUAGAGUGGUGGAUAACUAGUCGAAAGACUAGCUAAUACCGCAUACGAUCUAAGGCAGAAAGUGGGGGAUCGCAAGACCUCAUGCACCUGGAGCGGUCGAUAUCUGAUUAGCUAGUUGGUGGGGUAAAAGACUACCAAGGCAACGAUCAGUGGCUGGUUUGAGAGGACGACCAGCCACACUGGGACUGAGACACGGCCCAGACUCCUACGGGAGGCAGCAGUGGGGAAUUUUGGACAAUGGGGGCAACCCUGAUCCAGCAAUGCCGCGUGAGUGAAGAAGGCCUUCGGGUUGUAAAGCUCUUUUGUCAGGGAAGAAACGGUAGUAGCGAAUAACUAUUACUAAUGACGGUACCUGAAGAAUAAGCACCGGCUAACUACGUGCCAGCAGCCGCCGUAA